RNAcentral lists this ribosomal RNA (239 nucleotides) under uncultured bacterium. Its description in RNAcentral is "partial 16S ribosomal RNA". It matches the Rfam family "Bacterial small subunit ribosomal RNA", at positions 15 to 236 of the family's 1533-position model. The record is from RNAcentral.
GAUCCUGGCUCAGGAUGAACGCUGGCGGCGUGCUUAACACAUGCAAGUCGAGCGAAGCACCUAAGAAAGAUUCUUCGGAUGAAUUCUUUUGUGACUGAGCGGCGGACGGGUGAGUAACGCGUGGGUAACCUGCCUCAUACAGGGGGAUAACAGUUAGAAAUGACUGCUAAUACCGCAUAAGACCACGGUACUGCAUGGUACAGUGGUAAAAACUCCGGUGGUAUGAGAUGGACCCGCGU